Molecule: non-coding RNA, 24 nt
Filed under: Rattus norvegicus (Norway rat)
Lineage: Eukaryota; Metazoa; Chordata; Mammalia; Rodentia; Muridae
Source: RNAcentral
UAGGAAAGAAAAAUUGAUGUUACC